GAUGAACGCUGGCGGCGUGCCUAAUACAUGCAAGUCGAGCGAACAGACGAGGAGCUUGCUCCUCUGACGUUAGCGUCGGACGGGUGAGUAACACGUGGAUAACCUACCUAUAAGACUGGGAUAACUUCGGGAAACCGGAGCUAAUACCGGACAAUAUAUUUAAUCGCAUGGUUCAAUAGUGAAGAACGGUUUUGCUGUCACUUAUAGAUGGAUCCGCGCCGCAUUAGCUAGUUGGUAAGGUAACGGCUUACCAAGGCAACGAUGCGUAGCCGACCUGAGAGGGUGAUCGGCCACACUGAAACUGAGACACGGUCCAGACUCCUACGGGAGGCAGCAGUAGGGAAUCUUCCGCAAUGGGCGAAAGCCUGACGGAGCAACGCCGCGUGAGUGAUGAAGGUCUUCGGAUCGUAAAACUCUGUUAUUAGGGAAGAACAAAUGUGUAAGUAACUAUGCACGUCUUGACGGUACCUAAUCAGAAAGCCACGGCUAACUACGUG
RNAcentral lists this ribosomal RNA (497 nucleotides) under uncultured bacterium. Its description in RNAcentral is "partial 16S ribosomal RNA". It matches the Rfam family "Bacterial small subunit ribosomal RNA", at positions 28 to 507 of the family's 1533-position model. The record is from RNAcentral.